Molecule: ribosomal RNA, 429 nt
Filed under: Actinomycetes bacterium
Lineage: Bacteria; Bacillati; Actinomycetota; Actinomycetes
Description: Actinobacteria bacterium partial 16S ribosomal RNA
Rfam family: Bacterial small subunit ribosomal RNA
Source: RNAcentral
UAGGGAAUCUUCCGCAAUGGGCGAAAGCCUGACGGAGCAACGCCGCGUGAGUGAUGAAGGUCUUCGGAUCGUAAAACUCUGUUAUUAGGGAAGAACAAAUGUGUAAGUAACUAUGCACGUCUUGACGGUACCUAAUCAGAAAGCCACGGCUAACUACGUGCCAGCAGCCGCGGUAAUACGUAGGUGGCAAGCGUUAUCCGGAAUUAUUGGGCGUAAAGCGCGCGUAGGCGGUUUUUUAAGUCUGAUGUGAAAGCCCACGGCUCAACCGUGGAGGGUCAUUGGAAACUGGACAACUUGAGUGCAGAAGAAGAAAGUGGAAUUCCGUGUAUAGCUGUGAAAUGCGCAGAGAUAUGGAGGAACACCAGUGGCGAAGGCGGCUUUCUGGUCUGUAACUGACGCUGAUGUGCGAAAGCGUGGGGAUCAAACAGG